This is a non-coding RNA of Sturnus vulgaris (Common starling), 2882 nucleotides long. The record is from RefSeq and is a predicted model, not a curated record. Lineage: Eukaryota; Metazoa; Chordata; Aves; Passeriformes; Sturnidae.
AAACCCAAAACCCAAAAAGUCCACCCACCAAAACAAAUUAAAAUUAAGGCAGUCUGUUUCUUGGCUGGAAGAUGUAGAUCUGGUUUACAUUUAUGAUUCUCAGGUGUAGGUGUCCUGCAAGCUACUGAUUAUUUCAUUCUGGAAUGAACAUUAGAUUGAUAGGACAUGUCAAUAAAAGAGAUAACAGUGUAGAGAGGAUAACUGAUGUUAUCGUGCUGGACCGAGUCAGGAACAGUCAGAUUUCAUUACAUGUAUUUAUCUGGGACUUUACACUGGGUUCCUAGGAAAUCAUCUGGAAGUAGAAUUGGGAUCACCAUCCAACUUCUCUUGGAUCCUGAGCCACUGUAGAAACUGCUUUUCCACCAGUCCUAGGAGAGGAGUUUGUCUCAAGCUUUGAUGCUGAUUCCUUAAGAGUUGCAGUUUGUGUUUCAUUGGCCAGGUUUCUUUUGCCCUUAUUUUCCCCCAGGCCCCCUGCACGUGUAGUUCUGAAACAACCGGGGUGUCCUUGUCCUCUGCAAUGUUUCACAUGCUUUGCAAAGGGACUGUGCUGCGUCAGGUAUUACACCUUCAUCUGAUGAGGAGCUGAUUAGCGUUAGAGCUAAUGAUAGAUACUUUUGCUGAUAGUGCUGAAAUGCAAAGACUUAAUGCCGCUCAAUGUAAAUAGAUACGGCUUUGCGUUUCAAUGUAAUGUAAACAGAAAAGAAGCAGCUCCCUUUGAAACGCAAAUUAUUUCGGCAUUAGGGUGUAUUAGUGUAAUGACAGCAUUGAAGUAAUGUCUGCUGACUUCUGAGUAGGUCAAGUAGCAUGUAGUGUUUGGUAGACCUGUGUUUUUGUGUAUGAAUAUAGCUCAAAUUGAGACAAUAGCUUCUGUAAAAUGAUUUUUUUUCUAAUACAAAAAGACUGACUUACACAGAAAUGUGUUUGCAUUGUUCAGAAUGAUGGAAAGUGUUCUUAAGCUGCACUUCAUUGCUCUAAAAUUUUCAGGUUUUUCGGUAUUCCCCAAACCCAUAAAAUAAAUAAAGGUAUCUUGUAUUAAAUAGCUGUAUUUUAGCAGGAAUUAGCAUACAAAUGCUUGAAACUGAAAGUUUAUAAUGCUUUUUAUCCUUUUUAUGCUUAUCUGUUUUAAAUAGCUUCAGUGCUCUGUGAAGACAAAGGCACUGGUGUACAUGCCACUGAUAAUAGACAGUGUGACCGUAUCAUGUAUGCUUCCUUAAUAAUGUCUGACAUUAUCAGAUUGAUUAACUCAGCAGGGGGCUUUAAUCAGAUUUAACUACUGUUGGCAGCUGUACACUGGCAGAAUAGUAAUACAUCAGGGAGUAAUAUUGAACUUCUUUUAUAAGCUGUAUUAAUCUUGAAACUAAAAAAUGUACCAUAAAAAUUAUCAUUAUUUCUAGUACUAAUGCAAAGAGAAGUAGAGUUUACAUAUUGCUCACACAAUCUCACAUCUCUUUUGGAUUGUGCUUUACCAAAUUUUCUGUUUUCACCAGUUCCAAAUAAUGACAAUCUUCAGAUUGUCCUUUGGUCGUUAAUGGGAGUGUAUCUUAAAUAUAGAUAUUCCUUUCAGGAUUCAAAGACGAAUAGAUCAUUUGGGACUCAAUGAAUUAAGCAGAAAAAAUAAUGAAAAUAUUUCGUAGCUUCAGUUUUAAGCAUUUGUGUAUGUGACAAAGUAAUGAUAGUUAGGUUUUGUGCUUUGCCCUUUUCAAGUCAAAUGCCAUAUUAUGACACAUUUUUUUAGUUUUAUUUCAUGCAGGAUACUCUCAGUAUUAAUAAAUAAAAUGCAGGCUUCAAAGAUGUUAAUGUAACAUUCAUAGAUCAGUAGGUCAGAAGGGACAACUGUGAUCAUCAAGUGUGACCUUCUGCCUAUCGCAUGACAUUAAGAUUUUCUGAGUUCAUUCUCAUUUGAACUAAAGUAUCUCUUCUUGAAAAGACUGACUUUUGAUUGAAACAAAUUAAUGAAGGGGACAAGCAUAGUCCUUGAUUAUUUGUCUCAGUUAUCCUUCAGGUAAAUUACAGUCUGGGUUGUUUUGGGGGAUUUUAAGUGUAGUUAAUGCUGAUUCUGCUGUUGCUACAUUGUGUUUUUCAUGAACUUUCAUUGCUUUGUAUUUUUCCAUAACUUCCUAUUUGAAAGCAAAAUAAUUCCAGUUCCUGGAGUAUUCUUUUUUCACAGUAAGCUUUUUAGGUUUUGACUACUGUUGUGUAAGGUGCCUGUGUUCAGGUGGAUUUUUGUGGCACGUUAUUGAGUCUUCCUUCCCAAAUCAAAUUUUGUUGUUAUUCUGAAUGUACUGUCUUCAUAUUUGUAUCUUGCAUAUAAGACUUUGCGUUUCUUGGUAUUUCAACGCUGAUAUUUACUUGUAUUGAUCUUAUCAAGAAGUUCGAGUUGUUUGACCUAGGCGGUUCAGGGUUUUUCCAUUUCUCCCAUCUGUGUUAAAGUUGUAAUUGUUGUCAGUGAUGAUUUAGUUUACUUCAGGUUAUGAAUAUAAAUGUGAGCCACAGACCACCGAGACUUGAUUUUACAGCUUACUGCUAGACUGUUUCAAAUCCUCCUUUUUCAACUGAGCCUAAAGCCCUGCCAUUUUAUUUUCUACAUUCUUAUAUUGCAAGCAGAUUGGACAAGUAUGACCUUCUCUCCUCCUCUUCCAGAGUGUGAGUCUUAGAUGACUGACAUCCCAUAGCUGGUGCAGUGACUGAGCUGUGCUUAAACAAUCAUUUCCUCAUCAGAACUAUUUUUUCAAAUUAUGUGGAAAAUUCUUUAUAAUAAGUUUUUCACAUUGUUUAAUUCAUAAUUGGAAGAGUAAGAGUCUAAUUUGUGGAGUACUCUAUUAAGAGCUGCUGCACAAGUAAGCUUUGCAGAAGAAGGAAUGAUGUGGUUGACUGCAGCUUGG